Molecule: long non-coding RNA, 901 nt
Filed under: Medicago truncatula (barrel medic)
Lineage: Eukaryota; Viridiplantae; Streptophyta; Magnoliopsida; Fabales; Fabaceae
Description: long non-coding RNA (MTRU_LNC003596)
Source: RNAcentral
AAAAAUGAAUUGCAGGAAAAACUGAAAAAUACAAUAAAAUAAAACUCUGCUACUACUUCUUCAAGCACAUGAAGAAGUUCAGUCUCCAAAACCAACUCUGCUACGGUAUCCUGGUGAAGAAGGUUCAGCCAUAAUACGCUGUAAAAUCUCAAACCCGCAUAGUAAAUAGAGUCAUCAAUAAAUCAUUAUCUUGAUGAGAUAUACACGGUUAGACCAGUUAGCUGUUUGGAAACUCUUGUUUCCACGGUGGAAGUAAAAUCUACCUCAUGUAGUUCAAACAAACGCAUGUUUAAUGACAUGCCACCGGGAAAUUAAACACUGUGCAAAUCAAUUAUGGGGUUGAAUGUUACCCGUACUACUAGUGAAAAGAUCAUCAAAAUAAAGCUCAGCUACACCACAAAGCUCAACCUGUUCAUCAACAAAUUCAUCAUCACUUCUUUGCAACUUCGAUAUAUGAUUUUGCUUCCUUCUUGCACUAAUCAUGACAUCAAAAAACUUUGAAUUUUUAUCAUCUUUCUUCAACCAAUUUAUAUUUGUUCGUUAUCUCCAAAAUGCAUCCUCCUUGGCCAAGAGAUAGCUCAUGCAUUGUCUAGUGUCAAUGUAUCGCUUAACCGCUUCUUUAUCCUCCUUCUCUCUAAGUAGUUCUAUUUCUCUUCAACAUUCUUCAAUUGUCAUCUUAAAACUGAAUGCUCAGCCUCCACCUUUCCAAAUCCUUCCUACAGCUGCUAAUUUUAUAAAGAAACUCUCCACCUCCGUUGCCAUUCCAACCUGUAACCAUAAGCACUACAUCUUCGAUAUCCUUCUCCUCAUCUAACCAUGUGUUUUCGAACUUGAACAACCUUGUCAUUGUGCUUCUCUCCUACUCCAAGUGUAUUGAUACCCUUUCAGCAGUAAAUUCAUU